Non-coding RNA from Oryctolagus cuniculus (rabbit), 3028 nucleotides. The record is from RefSeq and is a predicted model, not a curated record. Lineage: Eukaryota; Metazoa; Chordata; Mammalia; Lagomorpha; Leporidae.
GAGGAAGAGUUGAGCCCGGCUAACCGAAGGCGCGGGGCCGGGGUGGGGAGGGGCUGGGGGCUGGGGGCUGGGGCCCGGCGCUGGAGCUGGGGCGCCAGGUGAUCCUGAUGAGCGCAAAAAAGGACACCCGCCAUCCUGUCAGCGUCUCGGCUUUGCACGUUAAAAUCACCUGGGAGGCAUAAAAGCUAGCGCCCGAGUCGUGGCCCUGGGAAUCUGAGGAUAAGAUGCAGGCAAAGUGGGAAACCACUGCUAGAAGGAAGCCAGGUGGCCAAAAUCAGCCAGGGGGCUUCCCUUCCUCCGGCGGAACAGCCAUCUCUGGACCCGAAGUAACUCCGGCCCUCGCCUGAGGCGCUGAGCUUCUAGGGGCACACCUCGCGGAGCCAAAAAGCGACAACUUGAGGGGGCAGGGAGGGACAGAUGAUCUCAACAGGUGGAGAAGAGAAGACGUCAUCUUUGCGGGCACUCAGCCCUCCUCAGCACCCUGUCUUGCCUGCAAGAUGGGUCUUGACCUAGCCAGAUGGUUAAGCUACUGGAUGAUUAAAAAUCCUGUGGGGUUUUAAAUUGGCUGUCUAUGUAUUUACCUGUGCCUAUACCAAGAGAAGCAGGGACCGCAUGCGUUGGAUCCACUUCUUCUAUUCCUUACACUAAGAAGAGUUCAAAAUGCUGGACGUUACAUAUAAAGCAAGCAUACAGUUCUAAAAGGUCAAGAAAAGUAAGCACCUGGCUUUGCUUCAAGUACAGGAACACACCUUCAGCAGCUACACAAUGGCUCGAAGAUACCUUUAACAAGAGACCUACUUCAUCUAAGGGUGGAUAUUAAGUGAGAAAACGUGGUCCCUGGCACAUAGGAGAUGUUAAAAGAUCUCAAGUUCUGGCCGAGAAAGCAGUCUCCUACCCCUGGCAGUGCCACCACCCUUGUAGAGCCUCCUCCCAGAAAAUGAGAAAAACCACUGUGGACAGAGCCGCUGCAAUAUAAACCCCAGACAAUGCAGAAAGGAAGAAAAACACGCAGCUACAAUGUCAUGGCAUCAGUACUUAAAAUUCCUUCUGAGGGGGAAGCGGCGGCGGGGAAGGCGUCCUGGGACAGGACCCCGCUCCUGAGAUCAACAGAAGGGUAUUCCAGGAAGAGGGCACCUCCAUCAGCCCAAGCUCGAGCCUUGUAAACAGGAUGGGUUGGAAGAAAGAUGAACCAUUCAGUCUGGCAGGGAUGGAAAACAAGCAAGUUGUGGCAAAAGCUGAAGCUGGCUGGUGAGCGGGGGCCGGAUGAUGUGUCCCCAGUGGCUGCAGUGUGAAGGUGGGUGGGGGGAUGGCCACACUGGAGGCAAAGCAGCCAUUAAGCAGCUCUGUGUGAAGAGCCUGCAGCAGAGGUGACAGCCGCAGGGAAGAAUCCCAAGCUGGAAGUGACUUUCCCUGCAUUCAGUCACAUACAGCAGACAGGAAGAGAGGGGGAAGACCCCAGGAGCCCGAGGGGGCCGGGGAGGGAAAGGAUCUGGAGCACUCACCGUCUUACCCAAGGCCAUCUCUGAUCACAGCGUGAGUUUAAUAUAGAUCUGUCCUUUUCCACAAUGGGCACUUAGCAAACCUUUGAAAAGUGUUUCAGAAUAUCUCAAAAUUAUCCACUGGAGAGGCAGGCUCUUGGCAUUUAACAAUGGCACUGUUCAAAGCUGCUCUUUCCUUGUCCUUUUCAUGGCUCUUGAGGACCUUUGGGUGGAAUUCUCUCUAAGAGCUGUGAAAAUAUCAAAAUAAAACUGCAGAAAAGGACAAGCAUGGCAGCGAGGUGUCACCUCCCACCUGCACCCAGCAGCUCCCGGCCUUGUGAGCAGAGGAAAACCUGGGCAGAUUUCCCAAGCCAUGGCUACCUUAACCGUUUGUUCUCUGUUAGGGGAAAUGGACAGUCUUGGUCUCGAAAAUCCCACAACCCCCUCGUUUCGGUCAGUAAAGUCAGUAUUCAGGGUUAACACCAGCACCGAGCAUAUUGAAAGAUGUGACCAGAAUUUUCAAGAGAAUAAAAUCAAAGCCAGUCAACUGUAAAGAUCCUUAAAGAUGUGGGAACCUCAACGGAAAGGCUCUGAAUCCAGUUCCGUUUCUGGAAAAGAAGCUAAGAAAUGAUACAUGGGGGAUACAGGCCUGUGUUCACCUGUCCCAUACACUCUGCUUCCCUCCUGUGCAGGGGUGAACGUCUGUGCUCUAAGCCAGCCGCACUGCCCGUACCUUGGGUGCCAUCUCCUCUUGUCUUCUCAGAGACAGAGACAUGGCCCUAGCAGUCAACUCUCUCCCUCGCAUCAUUCAUUUUCCUCUCACUGUUGGGUCACUGCCAGUGUGCAGAAACAUCCACCAACCAGUGGGGUGCCAAGGACGGGAGUGUAGGCAGUCAGCCCUGGGCACAGACAAUAAUGGGAUGCAUUGUUGAGCAUUUGACACAAUUCUAAAACAACUAACAGGCAGUCUGCUUUUGAUUAUCACCACAUGCUGACAUUCUGAGCAAUGUCCACAAUAAAAUACUCUACCUCCCCCUCAAUUUUUCUAUUGUUGGGCAUCCUAAAAAAUCACUGCAAUUACCGUUCAGUUUUAAUAUUGCCUAUGAAAGACUCGAGCCAGCACAUGUUAACUUCUCAGUAUUUAGCAAAUGUUGUAUUUACAUGGGCAUUAAUUUUAAGGACUCCGGUUAGGCAGUUGGGUCCCUGAUACACGUGGGCUCAGAUACACGUACUCCUGUGGGGCAUUCACACUGCUCUACAAUCACUCAAACCUGUUUCAGGCACGGCUUGUGUCUCCAUCCCUCUGGGAGCUACAUAUUCUUGGAUUUAAACCAUAGCUUUAUAACAAACAGUGAUAGUAGAGAUGACGAAAUGUAACAGGUUACUUUAAGUCUCAUUCUGUGUGAUCAUGUGAGUUUUCACUCUUGCCUUUAAAUCUGGAUGAGUAAAAUAGAGCAUGAAUUUCAAGAUCUAUUUUUAUUUGUUAAGCUGCGUUGGGUUACUUUGUAUAUGAAACGCUUGCUGUAUUUGAGUAAUAAAUAAAAAUUGAA